GAUGAACGCUAGCGGCAGGCCUAACACAUGCAAGUCGAGGGGCAGCACAUAAAGUGGUUUACUACUUUUGGUGGCGACCGGCGGACGGGUGCGUAACGCGUAUGCAACCUGCCUCCAACAGGGGGAUAACGGAGAGAAAUUUCCACUAAUACCCCAUAAUAUCAGAAUCGGCAUCGGUUUUGGUUGAAAACUCCGGUGGUUGGAGAUGGGCAUGCGUUGUAUUAGAUAGUUGGUGAGGUAACUGCUCACCAAGUCAACGAUACAUAGGGGGACUGAGAGGUUAGCCCCCCACACUGGUACUGAGGCACGGACCAGACUCCUACGGGAGGCAGCAGUGAGGAAUAUUGGUCAAUGGGGGCAACCCUGAACCAGCCAUGCCGCGUGCAGGAAGACGGCUCUAUGAGUUGUAAACUGCUUUUACAAGGGGAUAAAUCGGUGUACGUGUACACCGUUGAAGGUACCUUGGGAAUAAGGAUCGGCUAACUCCGUGCCAGCCGCCGCAGUAA
RNAcentral lists this ribosomal RNA (506 nucleotides) under uncultured bacterium. RNAcentral's name for it is "partial 16S ribosomal RNA". It matches the Rfam family "Bacterial small subunit ribosomal RNA", at positions 28 to 523 of the family's 1533-position model. The record is from RNAcentral.